GCUGGGUGGGCACCAAGCCCCUCAGACCGAGGGCUGAGCUGCGUGGCCAUGACCCCAUCACUGCGGCUCCCCAAGCCUGUGUCCCUUUGUGUCACGCAAACCCCUGCCACACAGGUGACACACGCCACACGUCUGACACAGGCUCAGCACACAGGGAGCGAUCAGUAAGUGGUGACUAGAGAGAAGCGACGGCCUUCAGCAUGGACGGAGAAGACAGGUCACAGACUCACAGAGGAAACCCCACAGAUCCACAGACGGAGAAAACACCACAGACGCAUGGACGGAGGAAACAGACCACAGACGCACGGAGGGAAUAAAAGCACCACAGAUGCACGGAGGGAGGAAAAGCGCCACAGACGCACACAUGGAGAAAACGCCACAGAUGCACGGACGGAAGAAACGCCACUGACACACGGACAGAAAAAAUGCCACAGACGCAUGGAUGGAGGAAACGCGCCACUGAGGCACGCAUGGAGAAAACAGGCCACAGACGCACGAAGGGAGAAAACGCCACAGACCCAUGGACGGAAGAAACAAGGCAGAGACGCGCACACACCAGUGUGGAACAUGGGACAGGAACGUCCCGGCCAUGCACCUUCCACUCCCACUAGGGACUUCCCACCCCAGAGCACUCAGGAUGGCUGUGGAGCUCCUGCCACCCACCCCAGAGGUGAAGCUGGGGAGCCAGAGAUGAGCAGGUUCACGUCCAUCAAAUGCGGCUGCAAUCCCUGUAAUAACAGGAGGUCACCAUUAAACAGAAGGGCACUUCACUUGGAAUAAAAGCACUCUGCAUAAAAGACUAAAGAUUGGCCGGAGACCGCUUAGAAACCAUCACAAUCAUUCUUGCUAGUGACAGUGAAGCUUCAAGAGUGGUCACUUUUCCUGUAGAAACGCCACAGAGGUGAUUCCUGGAACUCAGUUAGAAUAUUUCUUUCCCGGAAACCACACAACCAAGAGUUUAAUAAUGCCAUCUCUUGAGCAGAAAGAUUAAGAUUUGUGAUGAAACAAAACCCUGGCAAGCCUCCUGAUUCUAGAAGAUGCUAUACAGAAAAGCUAACUCAAAGGGCUUGCAUUUCUUUUGUCGUCCAUGACACACAUGAAAAAAAUUUUAAAUAUACAAAAAAUGUAGGAUUUGUACAGUGAGUACCAAUGUAUCUACCCCCGGAUCACAGAUUAGAUUUUAAAUGUAAAGUUCUAAAGGUUCCCAGCUAAGAAAAUGUGCAGUGUAAGCCUCUACCUGGUUAGAACCAAGGGGAAUGGAAUGAGCUUUCCCCGGCCUUGCUACUCAGCUGGGAGGGGCUGCCAAGGCUCGGCCACCCCACCCCAGAGCACCCAGGAUGGCUGUGGAGUUCCUGCCACCCAUCCCAGAGGUGAGGCUGGAUCCCCAAUCGAGGUGUUAAGAGUGAGCCAGCUGGGUGUGAUGUCUCAAGCCUACAAUCCCAGCACUUUGGAAGGCCAAGAUGGGUGGAUUACGAAGGCAAGAGAUCGAGAUCAUCCUGGCUAACACGGUGAAACGCCGUCUCUGCUAAAAAAAA
This 1535-nucleotide long non-coding RNA is filed under the name Macaca fascicularis (crab-eating macaque). RNAcentral's name for it is "lncRNA (ENSMFAG00000049037.1)". Lineage: Eukaryota; Metazoa; Chordata; Mammalia; Primates; Cercopithecidae. The record is from RNAcentral.